RNAcentral lists this unclassified non-coding RNA (315 nucleotides) under plant metagenome. RNAcentral's name for it is "partial contains 5.8S ribosomal RNA, internal transcribed spacer 2, and large subunit ribosomal RNA". The stretch from base 1 to 105 matches the Rfam family "5.8S ribosomal RNA", at positions 50 to 154 of the family's 154-position model. The record is from RNAcentral.
GAACUGCGAUAAGUAAUGUGAAUUGCAGAAUUCAGUGAAUCAUCGAGUCUUUGAACGCACAUUGCGCCCCCUGGCAUUCCGGGGGGCAUGCCUGUCCGAGCGUCAUUGCUGCCCUUCAAGCCCGGCUUGUGUGUUGGGUCGUCGUCCCCUCCGGGGGACGGGCCCGAAAGGCAGCGGCGGCACCGCGUCCGGUCCUCGAGCGUAUGGGGCUUUGUCACCCGCUCGAUAAGGACCGGCCGGGCGCCAGCCGGAGUCUCCAACCUUUUUUUCUCAGGUUGACCUCGGAUCAGGUAGGGAUACCCGCUGAACUUAAGC